AUUGAACGCUGGCGGCAUGCUUUACACAUGCAAGUCGAACGGUAACAGGCCUUCGGGUGCUGACGAGUGGCGAACGGGUGAGUAAUGCAUCGGAACGUGCCCAAUCGUGGGGGAUAACGUAGCGAAAGUUACGCUAAUACCGCAUAAGCCCUGAGGGGGAAAGUGGGGGACCGCAAGGCCUCACGCGAAUGGAGCGGCCGAUGUCAGAUUAGCUAGUUGGUGGGGUAAAGGCCCACCAAGGCGACGAUCUGUAGCGGGUCUGAGAGGAUGAUCCGCCACACUGGGACUGAGACACGGCCCAGACUCCUACGGGAGGCAGCAGUGGGGAAUAUUGGACAAUGGGCGGCAAGCCUGAUCCAGCAACGCCGCGUGUGUGAA
Molecule: ribosomal RNA, 378 nt
Filed under: uncultured bacterium
Lineage: Bacteria
Description: bacterial SSU rRNA
Rfam family: Bacterial small subunit ribosomal RNA
Source: RNAcentral